RNAcentral lists this unclassified non-coding RNA (396 nucleotides) under fungal sp. RNAcentral's name for it is "partial internal transcribed spacer region". The stretch from base 1 to 46 matches the Rfam family "Eukaryotic small subunit ribosomal RNA", at positions 1786 to 1831 of the family's 1831-position model. Lineage: Eukaryota; Fungi. The record is from RNAcentral.
AAGUCGUAACAAGGUUUCCGUAGGUGAACCUGCGGAAGGAUCAUUAACACGUAUCCAAACGUUAAAACCCCCCCCGUGAACUUUCAAUCCUGCUCUUGUAACCCGCGUAGUUCCGCAAUCUCUGGUAAAUCAUAGCCCGGAAAGUUGUUUUGAUUCAGAGACCUCUGGCUACGUGAGAACAAUGGAACAGUUACAAUCGAGCGGUAGUUUCAUAGGCAUUGUUUCCCCAAGCAGUCAGUAUAGCGCUUCACGAUUCCUGUAGACCGUACACUCGGGCAGGAGCUAUGCCAAAGGGUCCCCAUGCCCCCUUACAACCCCACAGUUUAAUGUAAAGCUCAAUGUAAUACAUUGGGUAAAAAAACCGAACAACUGUUAACAAUGGAUAUCUUGGUUCUC